Molecule: ribosomal RNA, 391 nt
Filed under: uncultured bacterium
Lineage: Bacteria
Description: bacterial SSU rRNA
Rfam family: Bacterial small subunit ribosomal RNA
Source: RNAcentral
GACGAACGCUGGCGGCGUGCUUAACACAUGCAAGUCGAGCGGUAAGGCCCUUUCGGGGGUACGACGAGCGGCGAACGGGUGAGUAACACGUGGGUGACCUGCCCUCAGCUCUGGGAUAAGCCUGGGAAACUGGGUCUAAUACUGGAUAUGACUCCACGGUGCAUGUCGUGGGGUGGAAAGCCUUGUGCGGCUGAGGAUGGGCCCGCGGCCUAUCAGCUUGUUGGUGGGGUGAGGCCCUACCAAGGCGACGACGGGUAGCCGGCCUGAGAGGGCGACCGGCCACACUGGGACUGAGACACGGGCCCAGACUCCUACGGGAGGCAGCAGUGGGGAAUCUUGCGCAAUGGGGCGAAAGCCUGACGCAGCGACGCCGCGUGAGGGAUGACGGCCU